CCCCUGGCCGCAACGGGGUCAUGUUGCGGCACCUCCCUGUUGGACUUGGCCCGGACCUUUGGUCCGGGCUUUUUU
This 75-nucleotide non-coding RNA is filed under the name Gemmobacter megaterium. RNAcentral's name for it is "Catellibacterium sp. CF17 Singlet oxygen resistance RNA X". It matches the Rfam family "Singlet oxygen resistance RNA X". From Rfam's summary of the family: SorX (RSs2461)like SorY is a singlet oxygen induced sRNA that counteracts oxidative stress by targeting mRNA for a transporter in Rhodobacter. It also has an impact on resistance against organic hydroperoxides. The record is from Rfam by way of RNAcentral. Lineage: Bacteria; Pseudomonadati; Pseudomonadota; Alphaproteobacteria; Rhodobacterales; Paracoccaceae.